RNAcentral lists this ribosomal RNA (404 nucleotides) under Verrucomicrobiota bacterium. Its description in RNAcentral is "Verrucomicrobia bacterium partial 16S ribosomal RNA". It matches the Rfam family "Bacterial small subunit ribosomal RNA", at positions 355 to 776 of the family's 1533-position model. The record is from RNAcentral. Lineage: Bacteria; Pseudomonadati; Verrucomicrobiota.
UGGGGAAUAUUGCACAAUGGGCGCAAGCCUGAUGCAGCAACGCCGCGUGAACGAUGAAGGUCUUCGGAUCGUAAAGUUCUGUUGCAGGGGAAGAUAAUGACGGUACCCUGUGAGGAAGCCCCGGCUAACUACGUGCCAGCAGCCGCGGUAAUACGUAGGGGGCUAGCGUUAUCCGGAUUUACUGGGCGUAAAGGGUGCGUAGGUGGUCUUUCAAGUCGGUGGUUAAAGGCUACGGCUCAACCGUGGAGGGUCAUUGGAAACUAAUAAACUUGAGUGCAGGAGAGAAAAGUGGAAUUCCUAGUGUAGCGGUGAAAUGCGUAGAGAUUAGGAGGAACACCGGUGGCGAAAGCGGCUUUUUGGCCUGCAACUGACACUGAGGCGCGAAAGCGUGGGGAGCAAACAGG